RNAcentral lists this ribosomal RNA (253 nucleotides) under uncultured bacterium. Its description in RNAcentral is "partial 16S ribosomal RNA". It matches the Rfam family "Bacterial small subunit ribosomal RNA", at positions 524 to 776 of the family's 1533-position model. The record is from RNAcentral.
UACGUAGGGCGCAAGCGUUGUCCGGAAUUAUUGGGCGUAAAGAGCUCGUAGGCGGCUUGUCACGUCGGGUGUGAAAGUCCGGGGCUUAACCCCGGGUCUGCAUUCGAUACGGGCUGGCUAGAGUGUGGUAGGGGAGAUCGGAAUUCCUGGUGUAGCGGUGAAAUGCGCAGAUAUCAGGAGGAACACCGGUGGCGAAGGCGGAUCUCUGGGCCAUUACUGACGCUGAGGAGCGAAAGCGUGGGGAGCGAACAGG